UAACCACUUUGUUGUGUAUCGUUGAGUAACGCUACAAAGUUGAAGCCUCUCGAAAAUUUUGCCUUACCUAGCUAGUACUGCCAUUUUGACAGGAAACCGAAAGUUUCAUGUUAACGGAAAAUUAUCUGGCUCGUUGGAGUGGAUAAAUGGUGAAUUGUGCUCCAGCAGUUCAAGCUUUGUUGCUGCUAAUGUUUCAAGAAUGUUCAGCCUAAUAGGCGCAGAUGAGAGAAACAAGGUGCAUUUUCAUAUGGGCAGAGUGAAUUACUGUACACAGUGAUGCUACUAGUAUAGUGAAUUAAGAGGAUGAUGUGUGGGAGUCCUUAUUUGCACGAUGAUGGUAUCAGCAUCCACAUUUGGUAUGAUGGUAUACUUUGUACUGCAGAGAGAAAUGGCAAUGGCAAAUAUAGUCCAGUGGAAGAGAAACAUUCAUCAGAAUUCAGCCUCUUUAAGCUGAAAAAAUGUGCAUAGAAAUGUAAAAUCAUCACUGUUACUCAUACUAACCUGAGAGUGAAUUACUAUACACGGAGUGUCCUGGGUGGUUGGAAGAGGGACCCAAAUGAGAUGGUGGAGCAGGUGAUAAGUGUCCAGGGUCUGUGGAUCCUGGUCUUUGCAGAUGUGAUGAAGGGAUACAGUUAGGAUCCCGAGGAGGACUGAUAGGCUCUGAUUUUAUCGUAACAGGCGGAGAGGAUCUCGGAGGUGGCGUUGAGGAACUGACACUAAGGUGUGGUAACCCAGAAUGCGACAUGCCUAUUGACCCUGGAUUCCACUAAAAGGAAGAGGUUAACUUGGUAUUACCGAGUUUUGUACUGAGUAACAUAAUACUAAUUAGUCUAUGAAUAUCUUAAAUACUCAUGUUUCUGUUAGUACCUUCAAUUGUGGAAAGAUUCUAAAAAAGAUAACAUUUAAUAGUUGCUUUAAUUAACUACAGCAACUCUUGACAUGUAACAAGCACCAAUUUAGUUUUAUAGUUUUGAAUGAGAUGGGAACACCCAGCAUUUGUGGGUUUUAAGUUAAACAUUAGAGAUACCUUGCAUCUUUUUUUCUGUAUAUGUAAUCUAUCAUUGUCACUCACUAUCUACUCUAUGGAAAAAUUUUACUGAUGGGGAAUGAAUGUGGCAGUAAAGGUCAAGUAGUCUGUAAAAACUUAAAUGUACUACAAUUUUCUCUUCUUUCUCUAAUGCUUUUGAUGCUUCUUUCCCUGGUAUUUUCUCUAAUAAAGUAGGUUUGCUAAUUAUAAUUUAACUAGUAGCCUAUCAAAGAAAUUCAGUGAAAAAAAAGUCUUUAUGAACCCAUUUUGAAGAUAAAUAAAACUUUGAUAUGCUUGAGGGCAGUCAUAACCUAAUGAACAUGCUCUUUGCAAACAGUUAAUCUCCCAUGUAUGUUAUUAUUCAAGGGCACCAUGUUUUAAAUGCAAUAUUUGUUAAAUUAUUUUCAAGUUAUUAGUAUAGUCUAUUGUACAUGCAGUGUCUAGUAUCUUAAGCUGCCAUAUCACUGUACAGAACAGUACCUCAAACAUUGUACAAUUUAUGUAAAUCUCUCAUGACUGUCAAACAAACCAUUGCCUCAUAUAGCCUUAUAUGUUCUGUUUGCAAACUUAAACUGUAUUGUACACACUUGAAAUGGGUCAGGUUACUGGAUAAUAGUUUCUGAAAUUUAGAUGAAACCCUCUCACCUCUCUCAGUAUGAACCCUAAAUUUUAUGAGAUGAAUACUUACGACCUUGCAUUUCUUAAGUAUAAUCGUUUGCUUUAAUGCUUUCAGUUGUGGUGAUCUUAUUUCUGUGAAGCUUCAAACAUUCCAUGCAGCUUCCCAGUGCUCUUCUAAUCCACUUAGCUCUAUUAUUUAAUACUGUAAAUUUUUUAAUUCUUCACAAUUACUGUGAGCAUCAUCAGGAAUCCCCAUAAACCAAGCCACAACACCGUUUAUGUAAGAUAUCCAUUUGUUCAAUUUUGUGAGUGUUUAUACAAUACAUGGUUUUAAUUUAUCUCUUAAGUUCAUUAGGGUCUUUAGUAAGCUUUUUCCAGAUAUCAUGACCCUAAAAGGCUAGAUAUAUUUCUUACAAUAAAAAUAUAAUUUUUUGCCAAUUACUUUUACAUAAUUCAUAUUUCUUUGGAGUCACAUUCAAAGAAAAUGUGUACUAUUGCCUUCUGCAGUCUCACAAAUCUUCUCAUGAGUCCUUGAGAAGAGUUACAGAGAACUUGACUAUCUUGCUUUUGUUGAGGAAUAUAACGACACACAAAGCAAUAGUUUGUAUUUUCAUGGGAACACUACUUCAUGUUUUGAUUAAUAAAGACAUGCAUUUACACAAAUAUAUCACUGCUUAUCAGAACCAGACUAAUGACAAAAGACUAUAUAAGAAACAAAGUUAUCCUUUGCUACUGACUCUUAAAAUUUGGUAAUGCUUUGGAGUUUUGAAGGGUAUCAUCAUCAAAUAUCCUGCCUAAGUUAAUGGGAGAAUUAAGAUUCCAGUUAGAUUUCUCACGUGAAAGGAAUAACUGGUAUUAGUCUCCUGUAUCAGGCAGCAAAAUUCUGCAGGAUGGUACAGGAAUUACUUAUAUUGCAAGAAACCUUCCCAUUACCUAGCUAUAGCCCAAGCUUAACCUUCAUGGCUGUGGUUGGUAAUGUUGUACUGAGAAAGAGAGAUAAAAAAUACUAAUUUUUAAAUUUUCAAUAAUACGUUUCACAUGUGAUGAUUCUUUAAAUUCAGGUAAAAUUUGUUUCUUAUUCUUCACACCAAAGCAGUCUAAAUAUUUAUACAAGGCCAAUAAAUAAUUUCUCAAAAUAAUUUUAUACCUGGUAGUGCCUAUGCAAGUCAUUACAUUUACAAAAAGGAUCUGGUUAAUAAUAAUAAUUCCUAUGACAAACAAAAAAAUAUUUUUCCUAUUUUACCCUUCCCUACUUCUGUCCAGAUCUCGUGAGAAGCUGAAUUUGGUACUGCAGAAGCAUGCCAAUAUUAGUAGUACGUGAAAAAUACUCAAUUACAAUUUAUAACAAAAAAUUCAAAUUUUCUUACGUGCAGAGAAUUUAUGGGGUUGAGAGAGAUGUCAUUAUUCAACGGAAACUCCUGAUGAGAAAAUGAGUUCAUUGAGGAGUACGUCAUUGAUGAAUUACCGCCAGCAGCUGUCUGGAGUGAAACAACAGGAGUAUUCAAAGAUGGUGAUCCAGGUCGAGGCGUCUACAAAAAAAAAGGGGGAGGAUAUUUAUCACUUGGAGACUGCUUUUGUACAAGGGGUAUUGCUUCAUAUGCUUUACACAAACCUUUUUCUUUUUUAUAAACUAGUUCCAUGUAGUAUACAAUAAAAAGUAUCAAUUUUACCAUUUUGUUUUCAUAUGAGGUUAUGAUGAAUUGGUGCAUUAAUUAUUAAUGACAGCUUCAAAAAAUUUUUUUUAAAUAUUUAGAGAAGCAUAUCUAAAUUGCAUUAUUACUCUAUGCAUAAUCAUUUACACAGACUCCUUCAUAGUCCUGUUUAUUAGCUAUUUUCUCUUCUUUAUUCCUGAAUCUUGUCAUUAUACCCGUUCCUCAUUAAGGGUGGCAGUAAUUACGUUACCAUUCAUGUUCCUUUAGCUACCGUAAAGAAAAAAAUUGGUAAUUCAUACAAUACAAUAGGUCAACUUACCGUCUGUGCUUGAGAGUUUGGGAUGAGGACUCGCAAAUUUGGUCUGGUUGGUGAAUGGGUCUUGGAGGAGUGUGGCCGACUGAGGAGUCCAGGGGAAGGUGCACCUCCAUGUGGAAGAGGGGAAGUUGAGCCAGGGUAUCCAUUCGAGCCAUUCAUAUCAAGCAUUCCACUAGAAGAUCCAGGACGUGGCGACAGAGAUGCGUGUGACAUCUGAGGUGAGGGCUGCAUCAGUCCUGGGUCAUAACCCGUAUUGUUGACAGGCACUGUGACUGCCAUACUAUUGUAGUUAUUAAGGUUUACUGGUUGCUGUAAUGGAAAGGAGAAAAUAAAAUUGAUUUGCAAUUGCGGACUCACUAUUUUUCAAUAACCUUUCCCACUUUUCAGUGAUACACUAGAUACAUUGUAAAAAUGUACCACACAAGUGAAAAUAAAAAAAUACUUUAUCUACUGAAAUAAGUUACUGACACCUGCAAAACACAACUUUGUCAAGAGAAAUUAAUAGUUUGUUCAAAUUAGACAAUGAGAGGAUUUCACUUCCAAAUCAUAAUUUUCAUUAACUUGAUACUGAGAGGGGCAUCGUAAUGGAAUACAGGCAGUCCCCGGGUUAUGACAGGGGUUCCGUUCUUGAGACGUAUUGUAAGCCGAAAAUCGUCAUAAGCCAGAACAUUGUCAAAAAUCCUAAGAAAACCUUACUUUUAAUGCUUUGGGUGCAUUAAAAACUGUAAACUGCAUUGCAUUUUUCAUAAAAAAAAACCCCUUCAAAUAUUGAUUAUUUUGCAUUUUUGGAGUCAUAUUUCUUCUGCCAGAUCAGCAUUGUGCAGCCAGGAACUGCCUGUAUAUGUACACGUAUUUGUUUGCAUCUUUAUUUUUGAGUUAUUGUGGUCUAUAAUUGUACCUGCUUUUAUUUUAUUCUUCCUUUACUUUAAUUUGACAAUAUUUGAUAAGUGCAGGUGACAGAAAAGGUUAAGUGCUAUUUUAUCUAGGUUUUAUAUUAUCCUAUUAUAUAUCCACCAUCUUUACCGCAUGACCAAACCCUACCAAAAUACUUUCAUAUAUAGUACCAACAUUUAUACAACUUACAAUUUAUCUC
Molecule: long non-coding RNA, 4706 nt
Organism: Macrobrachium nipponense
Lineage: Eukaryota; Metazoa; Arthropoda; Malacostraca; Decapoda; Palaemonidae
Exons: 4
Source: RefSeq, a predicted model, not a curated record